This 30-nucleotide non-coding RNA is filed under the name Rattus norvegicus (Norway rat). The record is from RNAcentral. Lineage: Eukaryota; Metazoa; Chordata; Mammalia; Rodentia; Muridae.
UCCCCAGAACAGCCUUUUGGGAUGGCCCUC